CAGCCGCCACGGGAAUACGAAGGGCGCAAGCGUUAAUCGGAAUUACUGGGCGUAAAGCGCACGCAGGCGGUUUGUUAAGUCAGAUGUGAAAUCCCCGAGCUUAACUUGGGAACUGCAUUUGAAACUGGCAAGCUAGGGUCUUGUAGAGGGGGGUAGAAUUCCAGGUGUAGCGGUGAAAUGCGUAGAGAUCUGGAGGAAUACCGGUGGCGCAGGCGGCCCCCUGGACAAAGACUGACGCUCAGGUGCGAAAGCGUGGGGAGCAAACAGGAUUAGAUACCCCGGUAGUCCCUGUCUCUUAUAC
Molecule: ribosomal RNA, 301 nt
Filed under: uncultured bacterium
Lineage: Bacteria
Description: partial 16S ribosomal RNA
Rfam family: Bacterial small subunit ribosomal RNA
Source: RNAcentral